AACGAACGCUGGCGGCAUGCCUAACACAUGCAAGUCGAACGAGACCUUCGGGUCUAGUGGCGCACGGGUGCGUAACACGUGGGAAUCUGCCCUUGGGUUCGGAAUAACAGUUGGAAACGACUGCUAAUACCGGAUGAUGACGUAAGUCCAAAGAUUUAUCGCCCAAGGAUGAGCCCGCGUCGGAUUAGCUAGUUGGUGGGGUAAAGGCCUACCAAGGCGACGAUCCGUAGCGGUCUGAGAGGAUGAUCAGCCACACUGGGACUGAGACACGGCCCAGACUCCUACGGGAGGCAGCAGUGGGGAAUAUUGGACAAUGGGCGAAAGCCUGAUCCAGCAAUGCCGCGUGAGUGAUGAAGGCCUUC
This 362-nucleotide ribosomal RNA is filed under the name uncultured bacterium. Its description in RNAcentral is "bacterial SSU rRNA". It matches the Rfam family "Bacterial small subunit ribosomal RNA", at positions 29 to 419 of the family's 1533-position model. The record is from RNAcentral.